GGAUUGUGAUGAUUAGUUAUUUCUUGGUCUAUCUUGUAGUAAUUGUGUUGAACCACAUUGAUGACAAUACUUAUAUAUCAACACCCAUAAAUUGAGUCC
Small nucleolar RNA from Ipomoea triloba (trilobed morning glory), 99 nucleotides. RefSeq annotates it as small nucleolar RNA Z43. Lineage: Eukaryota; Viridiplantae; Streptophyta; Magnoliopsida; Solanales; Convolvulaceae. The record is from RefSeq and is a predicted model, not a curated record. The transcript has a single exon.